Long non-coding RNA from Tripterygium wilfordii, 395 nucleotides. RefSeq lists it as uncharacterized. Lineage: Eukaryota; Viridiplantae; Streptophyta; Magnoliopsida; Celastrales; Celastraceae. The transcript has 2 exons. The record is from RefSeq and is a predicted model, not a curated record.
AGAAUUGAAGAGAAGGAACAAUUAAUAGAAAAAACAGAAAGAUGGGAUCCUCUUCGUUUUUCAAAUCACUUGUUUUUCAUACCAUAUUGAUUGUUUCAAUCUUGGCCAUGAAUGCACUACUGCUUCAAGUUAAUGGAGGGCGUAGUCCAAGUCCGCCGCCUCCACCGCCUGUGAACAUUUCCCCAGUUCAGUCCAUAUCUCCGGCAGCAGUACAAGGUCAAUGAAAUAAACGGAUUAUUAGUUAUGGUUAUGUUGGAGAAACAGUGUUGUUUGUUGUUGUCAAAAGCUGACGUGCAUAGAACCAGAUCCAAAUCUAGUUUUGGGAAGUGGUGUGUGAUUGAUUAAUUCAGUUUCUCUAUGUUGUUGAAAAAUAAUUAAUUCAGUUUCUUUAUAUA